RNAcentral lists this ribosomal RNA (499 nucleotides) under uncultured bacterium. Its description in RNAcentral is "partial 16S ribosomal RNA". It matches the Rfam family "Bacterial small subunit ribosomal RNA", at positions 30 to 522 of the family's 1533-position model. The record is from RNAcentral.
AUUGAACGCUGGCGGCAUGCCUUACACAUGCAAGUCGAACGGCAGCACGGGAGCAAUCCUGGUGGCGAGUGGCGAACGGGUGAGUAAAGUAUCGGAACGUGCCCAGUCGUGGGGGAUAACGUAGCGAAAGUUACGCUAAUACCGCAUACGAGCUAUGGAUGAAAGCGGGGGAUCGCAAGAACUCGCGCGAUUGGUGCGGCCGAUAUCAGAUUAGGAAGUUGGUGGGGUAAAGGCUCACCAAGCCGACGAUCUGUAGCUAGUCUGAGAGGACGACCAGCCACACUGGGACUGAGACACGGCCCAGACUCCUACGGGAGGCAGCAGUGGGGAAUUUUGGACAAUGGGCGAAAGCCUGAUCCAGCCAUGCCGCGUGCAGGAUGAAGGCCUUCGGGUUGUAAACUGCUUUUGUACGGAACGAAAAGGUUUGGCCUAAUAAGCUGAGCUCAUGACGGUACCGUAAGAAUAAGCACCGGCUAACUACGUGCCAGCCGCCGCUUAA